RNAcentral lists this ribosomal RNA (253 nucleotides) under uncultured bacterium. Its description in RNAcentral is "partial 16S ribosomal RNA". It matches the Rfam family "Bacterial small subunit ribosomal RNA", at positions 524 to 776 of the family's 1533-position model. The record is from RNAcentral.
UACGUAGGUGGCAAGCGUUAUCCGGAUUUACUGGGUGUAAAGGGCGUGUAGGCGGGAAAGCAAGUCAGAUGUGAAAACCAUGGGCUCAACCUGUGGCCUGCAUUUGAAACUGUUUUUCUUGAGUACUGGAGAGGAGAGUGGAAUUCCAUGUGUAGCGGUGAAAUGCGUAGAUAUAUGGAGGAACACCGGUGGCGAAAGCGGCUCUCUGGCCUGUAACUGACACUGAGGCUCGAAAGCGUGGGGAGCAAACAGG